UCAAGCAUACUAACACGGAUGCGGUGCAGCUUAUCCACUCCCUUUUUCAAACUUUCGUUGAUCUUCAGUACAUCUUGAAGUUCCAACACUUGGGGUUCAAGUCUAUCGACGAUUCUCUUGAAAGUGGAUCACUUGAUUAUAAGCAGCAAUAACUUUUUAUCCUUUGCAUAAGCAGCGAAACGAAGCUCAGAAACUGCAAACUCAAGAUCUUGAAUCUAAAGUAUGUAACAUCCAAUCUUCUUCUUUAAACUUUCAUACUUAACUUGGAUCGCGUCAAGCCUAGUCUUCAAGUCAACGAUCUCGUGGCGAGCGGUCUCAAGCUGCAGAGAAUUGGGGGCAGAAAUAUUAGACCCCUUCAAAGCAACAAGCUUAGAAUCCAACCUCUUGAUCUCCUCGUUUGAGGAAUAAGCUUCAGCUGCCAUAGUCUUCGCAACCUCCUUGCCAGCCUUGUUGUAUAUACAUCAUAGCAAGCAGAACAGUCAUUCUAUAUUGGGUCGUAUGCUUUGCAAAGGAACUUGGGCAAACAACCUUUCUACUGCCAUCAACAAACUUGGCACAAGCAUCCAUGUUUUCAAGCUGAUCUAGCUUCAAAGCACACAGAUCUCAGCAGCUUCCCCAAAAGCAGACCUAGUGAAUUUUUCACAGCUACCCAUGCAAGCAGUCUCUUCCUUCUUAGCAGGAUCAGUCUCAGCAGCAAAGGGAGUGGGCCUUGGCGCCACAUUAGUAGCAUAGUCCACCUUAUCGCUCUUUAUAAUAUCAAGCCUCUCCAAAGGUGAACCGGACUUAGCUCCCAACAGACGUCUUGGUACAAAAUUCGGCACUAGGGGCAUGACAAGACCUUUAUGCUAAACAAUCCUAUCAGCAAUCGUACUAGCCAUUCUUGGCAUG
Molecule: long non-coding RNA, 888 nt
Filed under: Malus domestica (apple)
Lineage: Eukaryota; Viridiplantae; Streptophyta; Magnoliopsida; Rosales; Rosaceae
Description: long non-coding RNA (MDOM_LNC008121)
Source: RNAcentral